CCUACGGGAGGCUGCAGUGAGGAAUAUUGGUCAAUGGACGAGAGUCUGAACCAGCCAAGCCGCGUGCAGGAUGACUGCCCUAUGAGUUGUAAACUUCUUUUAUAUAGGACUAAACUGUUCAACGUGUGUUAUUCUGUAUGUACUAUACGAAUAAGGAUCGGCUAACUCCGUGCCAGCAGCCGCGGUAAUACGGAGGAUCCGAGCGUUAUCCGGAUUUAUUGGGUUUAAAGGGUGCGUAGGUGGAUUGUUAAGUAAGUUGUGAAAGUUUGCGGCUCAACGGUAAAAUUGCAGUUGAUACUGGCAGUCGUGAGUAUAGUAGAGGUGGGCGGAAUUCGUGGUGUAGCGGUGAAAUGCUUAGAUAUAACGAAGAACUCCGAUUGCGAAGGCAGAUCACUGGACUGCAACCGACAAUGAGGCUCGAAAGUGUGGGUAUCAAACAGGAUUAGAUACCCUGGUAGUC
Molecule: ribosomal RNA, 460 nt
Filed under: uncultured bacterium
Lineage: Bacteria
Description: partial 16S ribosomal RNA
Rfam family: Bacterial small subunit ribosomal RNA
Source: RNAcentral